CUCUCAAAGUACGUUUGAACUACAGAGUCAACGAGCAUGGCCGACGCUCUCAUCUCCAGUGUUGUGGAACAGCUGAUCAACAUCCUGAAGCACCAAGCCCAGGAGCUAAAAAGAACUUUGGGUGUGGAGAAGGAGAUCACAAACCUCUCAUCGAAGCUCGAGAAAAUCAGGGAGAUAUUGGAUGAUGCAGAGAAGAGAAGCUUUAAGGAUAAGGGCAUCAAGCUCUGGAUCGAAACUAUAUCCAAGACUUCGCGUACCAAGUGGACGAUGUUCUGGACGAGUGGAGAACCACAAGUCUGAGACAACAGAUCGAGAGCCCCGAGGCAAGUCGCAGCUCUUUCCUGCCUUCACGUUUCCAUUACAAAAGGAAAGCAUUUUCUAAGAGAAGGGAAGAGGAUUGUGAGAAACUGAAAGAUAUUGGAUGGUCUGAAAAUUGCCCAAAAGUGCAAAGGAUUGCCACUUGCUGCUUGCGUCAUGGGAAGCCUGCUACGUUUCAAAUACACAAGAGAUGAUUGGCAAAAUGUUUUAGACAAUAAAAUUUGGGAGUUGGAUGAAAUGGUAACAGACCUCUUCCCUCAUUUGUAUCUGAGCUACAAUGAUUUGACCCCAAAGAUGAAGCAAUGUUUCUCCUACUGUGCUGUCUUUCCCAAAGAUUAUAAAAUUGAGGUAGAUAAGCUCAUCAGAAUUUGGAUGGCACAAAGUUAUGUGACGACGGAAUCAAAAGGUAGGGAGUUAUUUGGGGGUUUAGCAAUGCGCUCUUUCUUCCAAGAUUUGGAGAAAGAUGACAUGGAUUCCAACAUACAUUAUCAUGUCUUGCAAAAUGCAUGACAUAGUGCAUGAUUUUGCCCAGUUUCUGACCAAAAAUGAAUGCUAAUUAUUGACCAGCACGAGGAUAAGGUCGGGAUUAAAAAUCUAAGUCAUCUGUCAUGGCAGAAAACUGGUAAGAAUAUGAAUCUCACUUCCAUUUGUGAUAUUGGAAAACUUCGCAGCUUUUUUGCUGAAGAAUUUUCUCUCGAACAACUUACUCCGGAUUUGUUCAAUAGUCUGAAAUCUGUGAGAGUAUUAAGAUUGCAUGAACUCCCAAAGAAGAUUGGAAAUUUGCUUCAUCUAAGGUACAUUGAUUUAAGUUGGAAUGAUGUACUAGAGGAGUUACCUAAUGCAGUUUGUUCUUUAUAUAACUUGCAAACUUUAGAUCUUGGAGGAUGUACGUGUUUUUCUAGGCUGCCGAAAGGGAUUGGAAAUUUACGUCAACUAAAAUACAUUGAUUUAAGUUGAAGCAAAGUAGAGGAGUUACCUGAUACAAUUCACUCUGUGUCUAAUUUGCAAACUUUAUAUCUUGAUGGAUGUAAGCGAUUUUCUACGAUUGUCCCGAAUGGGAGGAGUGGGAAGACUUCAAACAAGAAGCAACAACAACAACAACAACAACAAUAAUAAUAAUAAUAAUAAUAAUAAUAAUAAUAAUGCCAUGCAUCAGGGAGGUGCAACUAAGAGAUUGCGGAAAACUUAAGACAGUGCCACAUCACAUCUUAAGUAUGCUGGACUUUUUGAAUAUCACUGACUGUCCAAGUCUCAAAGUUAAAUAGAUCGAGUUAAAUAUGUGACACUCCAGAUGCCGAUCAGGUGUCAAAAUGGUGACGUCAUUGUGCUUCCGAGUAAGGGGAGUCUUAUGUACUUGUAACGUUAUGGUUCGACCAACUUGAUCAUUUGAGCAAAAACUAUUAUGUUUAUCUCUUU
This is a long non-coding RNA of Ipomoea triloba (trilobed morning glory), 1734 nucleotides long. RefSeq lists it as uncharacterized. The transcript is spliced from 2 exons. The record is from RefSeq and is a predicted model, not a curated record. NCBI's taxonomy places the organism in Eukaryota, Viridiplantae, Streptophyta, Magnoliopsida, Solanales, Convolvulaceae.